UGGGGAAUUUUGGACAAUGGGCGCAAGCCUGAUCCAGCCAUGCCGCGUGCGGGAAGAAGGCCUUCGGUUGUAAACCGCUUUUGUCAGGGAAGAAAUCUUCUGAGUUAAUACCUCGGGAGGAUGACGGUACCUGAAGAAUAAGCACCGGCUAACUACGUGCCAGCAGCCGCGGUAAUACGUAGGGUGCAAGCGUUAAUCGGAAUUACUGGGCGUAAAGCGUGCGCAGGCGGUUUUGUAAGACAGAGGUGAAAUCCCCGGGCUCAACCUGGGAACUGCCUUUGUGACUGCAAGGCUUGAGUGCGGCAGAGGGGGAUGGAAUUCCGCGUGUAGCAGUGAAAUGCGUAGAUAUGCGGAGGAACCACGAUGGAGAAGCAAUCCCCUGGGCCUGCACUGACGCUCAUGCACGAAAGCGUGGGGAGCAAACAGGAUUAGAUAGCCCUGGUAGUCCACGCCCUAAAACGAUGUCAACUGGUUGUUGGGAAGGUUCCUUCUCAGUAACGUAGCUAACGCGUG
This 513-nucleotide ribosomal RNA is filed under the name uncultured bacterium. Its description in RNAcentral is "partial 16S ribosomal RNA". It matches the Rfam family "Bacterial small subunit ribosomal RNA", at positions 355 to 861 of the family's 1533-position model. The record is from RNAcentral.